Molecule: non-coding RNA, 402 nt
Organism: Nyctereutes procyonoides (raccoon dog)
Lineage: Eukaryota; Metazoa; Chordata; Mammalia; Carnivora; Canidae
Source: the annotation of a RefSeq genome assembly
UCCUCAGCUCAACUUCUCAAAAUGAGGUUCCCUGCUCAGCUGCUUGGACUGCUGAUGCUUUGGUUCCCUGGAUCCAGUGGGGAUAUCGUCAUGACGCAGACCCCACUGUCCCUGUCUGUCAGCCCUGGAGAGCCGGCCUCCAUCUCUUGCAGGGCCAGUCAGAGCCUCCUGCACAGUGAUGGAAACACCUAUUUGAAUUGGUUCCGACAGAAGCCAGGCCAGUCUCCACAGGGCCUGAUCUACUUGGUUUCCAAACGUUUCUCUUGGGUCCCAGACAGGUUCAGUGGCAGCGGGUCAGGGACAGAUUUCACCCUGAGAAUCAGCAGAGUGGAGGCUGACGAUGUUGGAGUUUAUUACUGCGGGCAAAGUAUACAAGCUCCUCCCACAGUGGUUCAGCUCUGA